Molecule: ribosomal RNA, 253 nt
Filed under: uncultured bacterium
Lineage: Bacteria
Description: partial 16S ribosomal RNA
Rfam family: Bacterial small subunit ribosomal RNA
Source: RNAcentral
GACGAACCGAGCGAACGUUAUUCGGAAUCACUGGGCUUAAAGGGCGCGUAGGCGGGCCGUCAAGUCAGGGGUGAAAGCCCCCAGCUCAACUGGGGAAGUGCCUCUGAUACUGGCGGCCUCGAGCGAGGUAGGGGCGUGCGGAACUUCCGGUGGAGCGGUGAAAUGCGUAGAUAUCGGAAGGAACACCGGUGGCGAAAGCGGCGCGCUGGACCUCUUCUGACGCUGAGGCGCGAAAGCCGGGGGAGCGAACGGG